RNAcentral lists this ribosomal RNA (500 nucleotides) under uncultured Alphaproteobacteria bacterium. RNAcentral's name for it is "bacterial SSU rRNA". It matches the Rfam family "Bacterial small subunit ribosomal RNA", at positions 56 to 603 of the family's 1533-position model. Lineage: Bacteria; Pseudomonadati; Pseudomonadota; Alphaproteobacteria. The record is from RNAcentral.
UGCAGUCGAACGAACCUUUUAGGUGAGUGGCGCACGGGUGCGUAACACGUGGGAAUAUACACUUCGGUAAGGAAUAACACAGAGAAAUUUGUGCUAAUACCUUAUAAUGACUCCGGUCCAAAGAUUUAUCGCCGAAGGAUUAGCCCGCGCUAGAUUAGUUUGUUGGUGAGGUAAAGGCUCACCAAGACUACGAUCUAUAGCUGGUCUUAGAGGAUGAUCAGCCACACUGGAACUGAGACACGGUCCAGACUCCUACGGGAGGCAGCAGUGAGGAAUAUUGCGCAAUGGAGGAAACUCUGACGCAGCCAUGCCGCGUGAAUGAAGAAGGCCCUAGGGUUGUAAAAUUCUUUCAGAUGCGAAGAUAAUGACGGUACCAUCAGAAGAAGCUCCGGCUAAAUUCGUGCCAGCAGCCGCGGGUAAUACGAAUGGAGCGAGCGUUGUUCGGAAUCAUUGGGCGUAAAGCGUAUGUAGGCGGACUAGAAAGUCAGAAGUGAAAUCCC